GAUGAGGCAGCCGCCUAUAGGAGAGCUUGGAAGGAAUGGUUCACAGCACAGCAGCCAACCUGGCAGGGAAGCCUCAGCUGAGCGGGAAGGAAGACUUGACAAGCUUUUUGGCAAUGCCCCACGGCUUACAGAGAUAAGCAUAAAGCAGAUGAGUAUGAAAUUGCCCCAUUCUCUGUUCGGCCUGGCCUCAUCCCUUGCAAAGAUGAUAAUCAGACUGAUUGCAUAUUCUCCAGUCAUUCCUAUUUUCUGGGAUAUCACUGUACUGUCCCUAAUUUUGCCUUUUGGGAAUGUAUUCGUAACAUCUCGUUAGUCUUGUUUCCUGGAGUUCAGGAUUCUUACCUCCUUCACUCCCAAGGUCUCUAAAAAGUAACUCUUUGAAUGGGAUGGAGGUAGAUCUGCCUGAUCUCUAAUAUACAUGUAUAUUAUAUAUACAUGUACAAGGCAAAAAGGUAAAGGUGAAGGACCCCUGGAUGGUUAAGUCCAGUCAAAGGCAACUAUGGGGUUGUGGCGCUCAUCUCACUUUCAGGCCGAGGGAGCCAGCGUUUGUCCACAGACAGCUAUCCAGGUCAUGUGGAAGCAUGACUAAACUGCUUCUGGCACAACAGGACACUGUGGCAGAAACCAGAGUGCAUGGUAAUGCCGUUUCCCACCACAGCGGUACCUAUUUAUCUACCUGCACUGGUGUGCUUUCAAACUGUUAGGUUGGCAGGAGCUGGGACAGAGCAAUGGGAGCUCACCCUGUGGUGGUGAUUCGAACCGCCAACCUUCCUAUAGGCAAGCCCAAGAGGCUCAGUGGUUUAGACCACCCGCAUCCCUGUACAUUUAUAUACAUUUAUACAUGUAUAUAAAUGCACAGGCAUGUAUAUGAGGGUACUGUGUGUAGAUGCUGCCAUUUCACAUGCUGGUGAGGCACAUUUUGAACUGUUGGUAACAGAUUGUAGAAGGUGUGUUUGUGUGUGUUUUCCCCUAGCAUAUUGUUUAAUUAAAAGAACAAAUGCCUUCUCGUGUUCUUCAACCCAGUGGAAUUUCACAUUGUUCCCCUUUCCCUCAACAGGCAUAAUCUUGCCUCCCCCUCCUCCACUCAACAGGCUCUGGGACAUUGGUCCAGUUUGUCCUAGUCUGUAUUACAGAAGUGUAUGGGAUUCUUCACAGCAGCCUUUGUUUUGCCAACAGCUGAAAAUGCUGUUUACACUUGACUUGAGUCUACAGCUCUGCUUGAACCUUGGAGUUUGGCUCUUUCAGGGAGAGAGAAAUGUGAAAUACCUCUUUCAUCACAG
Molecule: non-coding RNA, 1277 nt
Organism: Podarcis lilfordi (Lilford's wall lizard)
Lineage: Eukaryota; Metazoa; Chordata; Lepidosauria; Squamata; Lacertidae
Source: the annotation of a GenBank genome assembly